CCUACGGGAGGCUGCAGUGAGGAAUAUUGGUCAAUGGACGAGAGUCUGAACCAGCCAAGUAGCGUGAAGGAUGACUGCCCUAUGGGUUGUAAACUUCUUUUAUAAAGGAAUAAAACGAGGCACGUGUGCCUUUUUGCAUGUACUUUAUGAAUAAGGAUCGGCUAACUCCGUGCCAGCAGCCGCGGUAAUACGGAGGAUCCGAGCGUUAUCCGGAUUUAUUGGGUUUAAAGGGAGCGUAGAUGGGUUGUUAAGUCAGUUGUGAAAGUUUGCGGCUCAACCGUAAAAUUGCAAUUGAUACUGGCAGUCGUGAGUACAGUUGAGGGAAGCGGAAUUCGUGGUGGAGCGGUGAAAUGCUUAGAUAUCACGAAGAACCCCGAUUGCGAAGGCAGCUUACUAAACUGUGACUGACAUUGAUGCUCGAAAGUGUGGGUAUCAAACAGGAUUAGAUACCCUUGUAGUC
RNAcentral lists this ribosomal RNA (460 nucleotides) under uncultured bacterium. Its description in RNAcentral is "partial 16S ribosomal RNA". It matches the Rfam family "Bacterial small subunit ribosomal RNA", at positions 338 to 795 of the family's 1533-position model. The record is from RNAcentral.